This 206-nucleotide long non-coding RNA is filed under the name Lathyrus oleraceus (garden pea). RNAcentral's name for it is "Pisum sativum (pea) long non-coding RNA (PSAT_LNC027767)". Lineage: Eukaryota; Viridiplantae; Streptophyta; Magnoliopsida; Fabales; Fabaceae. The record is from RNAcentral.
GGAGAAAUUGGACAGUGGUAGAAAGGUGAUAACCUCUAUGAAUGAUUUGAAGACCCCACUUUUAGAAAUCAAGAAUGUUCUAUUAAGAAGCGACGAGUUCUCCGUGUAUGUUCAGACUUAUGAAUAUUGUUCAAAGGACCCACAACAAUGUAAGGUUUUGAAGGCUUCUAUUCAAACUCUCAUGAACCAAGGAUUAUUAAUAAUUG